UCCCUGGUGGCUUAGAGGGUAAAGCAUCUGCCUGCAAUGCAGGAGACCCGAGUUCAAUCCCUGGGUUGGGAA
This 72-nucleotide transfer RNA is filed under the name Bos taurus (domestic cattle). It matches the Rfam family "tRNA". Rfam says of the family: Transfer RNA (tRNA) molecules are approximately 80 nucleotides in length. Their secondary structure includes four short double-helical elements and three loops (D, anti-codon, and T loops). Further hydrogen bonds mediate the characteristic L-shaped molecular structure. tRNAs have two regions of fundamental functional importance: the anti-codon, which is responsible for specific mRNA codon recognition, and the 3' end, to which the tRNAs corresponding amino acid is attached (by aminoacyl-tRNA synthetases). tRNAs cope with the degeneracy of the genetic code in two manners: having more than one tRNA (with a specific anti-codon) for a particular amino acid; and 'wobble' base-pairing, i.e. permitting non-standard base-pairing at the 3rd anti-codon position. RNAcentral also lists the same sequence under 4 other names. Lineage: Eukaryota; Metazoa; Chordata; Mammalia; Artiodactyla; Bovidae. The record is from Rfam by way of RNAcentral.